RNAcentral lists this ribosomal RNA (253 nucleotides) under uncultured bacterium. Its description in RNAcentral is "partial 16S ribosomal RNA". It matches the Rfam family "Bacterial small subunit ribosomal RNA", at positions 524 to 776 of the family's 1533-position model. The record is from RNAcentral.
UACAGAGGGUGCGAGCGUUAAUCGGAAUUACUGGGCGUAAAGCGCGCGUAGGCGGCUUUGCAAGUCGGGUGUGAAAUCCCCAGGCUUAACCUGGGAACUGCAUUCGAGACUGCAUUGCUAGAGUAUGGGAGAGGGAAGUGGAAUUUCCGGUGUAGCGGUGAAAUGCGUAGAUAUCGGAAGGAACAUCAGUGGCGAAAGCGGGUCUCUGGACAGUUCCUGACGCUGAGGCACGAAGGCUAGGGGAGCAAACGGG